Molecule: ribosomal RNA, 403 nt
Filed under: bacterium
Lineage: Bacteria
Description: partial 16S ribosomal RNA
Rfam family: Bacterial small subunit ribosomal RNA
Source: RNAcentral
UGGGGAAUAUUGCACAAUGGAGGGAACUCUGAUGCAGCGACGCCGCGUGAACGAAGAAGGCUUUCGAGUCGUAAAGUUCUUUUAUAUGGGAAGAUAAUGACGGUACCAUAAGAAAAAGCCCCGGCUAACUACGUGCCAGCAGCCGCGGUAAUACGUAGGGGGCUAGCGUUGUCCGGAAUCACUGGGCGUAAAUGGUUCGUAGGCGGAAAUGCAAGUUAGGUGUAAAAGGCAGUAGCUUAACUACUGUAAGCAUUUGAAAAUGCAUAUCUUGAGAAGAGUAGAGGUAAGUGGUAUUUUUAGUGUAGCGGUGAAAUGCGUAGAUAUUAAAAAGAAUACCGGUGGCGAAGGCGACGUACUGGGCUCAUUCUGACGCUGAGGAACGAAAGCGUGGGUAGCAAACAGG